RNAcentral lists this ribosomal RNA (253 nucleotides) under uncultured bacterium. Its description in RNAcentral is "partial 16S ribosomal RNA". It matches the Rfam family "Bacterial small subunit ribosomal RNA", at positions 524 to 776 of the family's 1533-position model. The record is from RNAcentral.
UACGGAGGGGGCUAGCGUUGUUCGGAAUUACUGGGCGUAAAGCGCGCGUAGGCGGCUUUGUAAGUUAGAGGUGAAAGCCCGGAGCUCAACUCCGGAAUUGCCUUUAAGACUGCAUCGCUAGAAUCAUGGAGAGGUGAGUGGAAUUCCGAGUGUAGAGGUGAGAUUCGUAGAUAUUCGGAAGAACACCAGUGGCGAAGGCGACUCACUGGACAUGUAUUGACGCUGAGGUGCGAAAGCGUGGGGAGCAAACAGG